Molecule: ribosomal RNA, 241 nt
Filed under: uncultured bacterium
Lineage: Bacteria
Description: partial 16S ribosomal RNA
Source: RNAcentral
CUGCUGCCUUCCGUAGGAGUCUGGGCCGUGUCUCAGUCCCAAUGUGGCCGUUCAACCUCUCAGUCCGGCUACUGAUCGUCGCUUUGGUGGGCCGUUACCCCGCCAACUGGCUAAUCAGACGCGAGCUCAUCUUUGGACGAUAAAUCUUUGGCAGCAAAAUCAUGCGGUCCUGCUGCAUUAUGCGGUAUUAGCAGUCGUUUCCGGCUGUUAUCCCCCAUCCAAAGGCAGAUUGCUCACGUCG